Molecule: non-coding RNA, 78 nt
Filed under: Rhodobacteraceae bacterium HTCC2083
Lineage: Bacteria; Pseudomonadati; Pseudomonadota; Alphaproteobacteria; Rhodobacterales; Paracoccaceae
Also listed under: 1 other name
Description: Glycine riboswitch aptamer
Rfam family: Glycine riboswitch aptamer
About the family: This family represents the bacterial glycine riboswitch.
Source: Rfam by way of RNAcentral
AUACGACACUCUGGAGAGAGACGUUAAAUCGUCCGCCGAAGGGAUAGCGAUCUCAGGCACCAUGACAGAGGGGGCAUC